This 1143-nucleotide ribosomal RNA is filed under the name Triticum aestivum (bread wheat). RNAcentral's name for it is "partial small subunit ribosomal RNA". Lineage: Eukaryota; Viridiplantae; Streptophyta; Magnoliopsida; Poales; Poaceae. The record is from RNAcentral.
AUGGAGACAGCGCAGGAAAGAGAGCUGCUGCAGCGGCUGCCGCUGCAGCUGCAGGGGUGGCCUUUCCACGCCAUGCCGCCCAGCUUCGACGCCGGCAGCGGCGGCAGCGGCAGCAGCAGCAUGAGCAGCGACUCCUUCCUGCUCGGCUGGGAGCCGCCGUUCGGCGGCUGCUUCGGCCUCGCCGACGCGCAGCUCCACGACCUCUUCCCGCUCUGUACGUCGUGCGCGCGCCUGCCCGGCAUCAUGCCCGCGCUCUGUUUCCCUCUCCCGCAGCUCCGGCGGAGAAUUGAACUCGCCGUUUCUUCGACUGCAGGCAUGAUGGAGCCGCUCCCGCUGUCGCCGGCCGCGACGUCCACGGCGGCGGGCCUCCCGUCGGAGCAGCAGGGCCCGGCGCCGGCGGCAAUGCCCAACGGGGAGCUCGGCGACCUCCUGCUGAAUUUCUGGGACGCCGGUGAUGUCAGCGAGCGGCCGGUCGCAAUCAAUUCAGGCUGCGUGGCACCGCAGCAGCACGAGAAGAGCAGCCAGAGCAGCGCUGCCACCGCCACGAACUCUUUCCUCUAUGAUGAGGACGAUCUUUUGGGCUCCAUUUUCUCCAAGAGGCCCACCAUGGCAGAAGAACCGCCCGUGCUCCUCCUCGCCCCGGCGGAGGCGGAGCCCCUCCUCAGCACCUCCUCCUCCUCCAGCUGCCACGCGGGCCCACCCGCCAGCGGCGCCGGCGGGGCCCGGCCGCAGGACGCUACCGCCACCGCCGAGCCAUGUGGCGCGCGGGCCCCGCCGCUCCCCCGCUGCUCCUCCUCGUCGCUCAAACGCGCGACACCGGAAGCGGCGGAGUCGGCGUCGGCGGAGGCGGAGUGCAGCCAGAGCGGCGGCAAGCGGCGGAGGGCGGCGUCGGGAAGCGUGCUGUGCCCGUUCGCGGUGCUGAAGCCCGACGGGCUGGACGGCGGCGCGACGCUGGCGGACAUCAACGCGCGCAUCCUCAUGCGGCCGGCGCGGCCCGUGCGGCACCCCGUCGGCGAGUACGCGUGCGCGCCGCGCGUGCUGGCGGCCGACGCGCCGGGCAUCUCCGGCAGGGCCGUCUCGGGGUUCACGCGGCUGCACACCCCCGGCCGCGGCACCAUCACCAUCAUGAGGACGCGAGGCUGA